GCGGACAAUGGGCGUCACGCUGUUAAAGGGAUUAUCGUAAUGUCCUAUAUUCUCAGGGAACUGUUCUUAUCUUUUCCUCUACCCAUCUUUUGUGUCAUUUAGGAAAGCUCGGAGUUCGAACAGCACUUCUGGGCUGGGCUGCUAGACAAAGAAAAUGGAGAUGCCGGGGAUUGAACCCGGGGCCUCAUACAUGCAAAGCAUGCGCUCUACCACUGAGCUACAUCCCCUUCUUGUUCCAUGAUUAUCAACUCAGGCAAACUCCUGCUGCUGCCAGUCCAGUCCAGCCCGGUCCUCCUCCUUUUUCCACUCCUCACUCCACAUGUCUCUGUCCACUCUGUUGCCAUUCUGUCUUCCCACUGUGAAGGCAGGACAAGCAGCUGAUCCUCCACUCCAGAGACCACCAGCCUGACAGCACAUACAGGCAAAGCAUGACUUCAAAGCUCACUGCUUGUGGGUCAUUCUUUUGGUGUGUUUUGGGACAACUAAAGUCUGUUCUUUUUGGAAAUAAAAAUCUUAAAAUAUUUCAUUCCAAGUCAAGAGGUUUUGCAAUGUGAUGGAAUGUAGACCUCAUUUCUUCUGCUACAUAAUAAAAGCUUGUUGAUGACUAAAAUAUGUGGAGCUGCAAAAUUAGAAACUCACAUCAAAGCAGUUUAGCAGCAGUGAUGACAGGAAAUUGAAAUGUCCCCUUAAUAUUAAGCUAUAGUGAAGCCUUCAUCUUACCAGUGUGCUCUGUUAGCUUGAGCUCAAAGGAGUGAAUGGUGCAACAGUAUUUAUUUAGGUCAGGGGUGUCAAACAUAAGGCCCAUGGACCAGAAUCGGACAGACAAAGACUCCAACCUGGCCCACUGGACAGCUCUAGAAAAUGUGCAGGAGUGUAUAGAUUUUGAACUUUUACCUGUAUUUCCAUAGGUUUUACAGCUUUAUUGAUAAUUUGCCAUUCAUACUACACCAACGCAAUCAAGUAAUAGAUAAACAAUUAAAUGACAGAAUGUUCCUGUUUAUUCAAAAUCUGCUUUAUAAAUUUAGGGGUUUUUUUUACACUUGAUUCACAGACAUUUUCUUUGAAUUAAUGAAAACAUUAUAUUUUAUCAUUCCGACAAUGAACCAACAGAAACAUUUUCUGUAAUUUUACACAUUUAUUAUGUAUUUUCACUGGACCGGCCAACAUAAGAUCAAAGCAGUCUGUUUGUGGCCCACCAUGUCAAAUGAGUUUGACAUCCCUGAUUUAAGUUGUCACCUAUGUCAGCCUGCACAGUGUCAUUUACCAAAGUCGCUGAAGUGAACUCAUUUGUGUGCAAACAUGGUUGAAUGAACAUUUCAUUAAAAUCUCCACAACCCAGCAGUGAGUCAGCUACAUGACAUUCAUGGGUCUUUUUUGCUUUGGGGUUUCUGUGUGCUCUCUCACACACAAAUGUAGCAGUUCCUUUCAUUUGCAUGUGUGUGUGUGUGAUCCUAAUUGUCUCCCCGUUCUGCCCGGCAUGUUUGCUUUGCUGACAUAGGGCACCGCGGCUGUUUAUCUGCACCUUUACUCCACACACGGGCUGUUAGGAAUGUGUGUGGGAGAGGACAGCACUGAGCUAACAGGCUCUUCUUCCAACGUCAUCUCUGUUUACCUGCUAUUGUUCACAGCUCCUGUGUAGCGAUGAAGAGAAAGAAGUGAUUUAUGUGUGUAGUGACAACAACAAGUGUUUGGACUGCAGUGGCGCCAGUGCAUUUCUUUAUCCCGUGGAACUGGCUGAAGCCCGGAGCCGUUAACACCACAGCAACUUUAAUUUGUGGAGACAUAUUGUGUGAUUAUUCGCUGACUUGGAAAAAAAAUGGUGAUUUUUAAAUUAUUUGUUAAUAACAGUUUCUAGCAAGCCGACACAAGCAGAGACAGACGUGUUUUUUUCCCUAAGUUGCCCAUUAGGCGCCUGCUUCUCCUCGUUUUAUCCCCCUUCUCCUCUUCUAUGCUGCAUCUGAUAUUGUUGAUGUUGUUUU
RNAcentral lists this transfer RNA (1979 nucleotides) under Oreochromis niloticus (Nile tilapia). RNAcentral's name for it is "lncRNA (ENSONIG00000034037.1)". The record is from RNAcentral. Lineage: Eukaryota; Metazoa; Chordata; Actinopteri; Cichliformes; Cichlidae.